GGGUACCGGACCUCGCUACCGACUCCAACCGAACUUCGGCCGACAAGUCUGGACCCCCUGGCAGGCCACAGUAACGGACAACACUGCUCCACUCCCUGCGGCGGACCCUAUGCAGCUCCAUUACUCCCUGACAGGCCGUAUUAACGGCCACAAUUCUGCUCCACUCCCUGCGGCGGAUCCUGUGCGAUUCCGCCACUCCCUG
This 202-nucleotide long non-coding RNA is filed under the name Elaeis guineensis (African oil palm). RNAcentral's name for it is "long non-coding RNA (EGUI_LNC044743)". The record is from RNAcentral. Lineage: Eukaryota; Viridiplantae; Streptophyta; Magnoliopsida; Arecales; Arecaceae.